AUGAUGAGGGGACUAAGGAGACUCCAAAUUCUACCUCCAGCUAUUCCUCUCGCGAGCCUUGGUUGUGAGCACAUUGCCGCUGCUUACCCUCGCAACGCUCUGACUCGGUACGCAUGCCAGGCUCGUAAGAGAGGAAGAAGAUAAUGCCUGUGGUCAAAGAUGGAGGCAUGCAGCAGAUACAACCUGCUGUGCCAGGCGAUCACGUAUUUACAUUUUCCUGCAAGUGUUGGCCUAAUUAACUUAACAUGCCUGAACACACAUGCUCUGUAAAUUAAAAAAUUAAAACUAGUCAGAUUUUUAAAAUUAUAAAUAGUACAUCACGCUUCUACAAAAAUAAAGGCUUUAAAGGUUAUACAAAAGUAAUAUUAGCAGUACUUGGAUGCAUUUUCAUAUGCUAAAUCAAAAAGCACUUAUCUAGCACCUAUAUAUAGAUUCUUCAGAAAUUUAUUAUUUAAAACACUGUUAACCAG
This is a non-coding RNA of Pelobates cultripes (western spadefoot toad), 470 nucleotides long. Lineage: Eukaryota; Metazoa; Chordata; Amphibia; Anura; Pelobatidae. The record is from the annotation of a GenBank genome assembly.